RNAcentral lists this ribosomal RNA (253 nucleotides) under uncultured bacterium. RNAcentral describes it as "partial 16S ribosomal RNA". It matches the Rfam family "Bacterial small subunit ribosomal RNA", at positions 524 to 776 of the family's 1533-position model. The record is from RNAcentral.
UACAGAGGUCCCAAGCGUUGUUCGGAUUCACUGGGCGUAAAGGGUGCGUAGGCGGCCGGGUAAGUCUGAUGUGAAAUCCCGCAGCUCAACUGCGGAACUGCAUCGGAUACUCUCCGGCUAGAGGAAUGGAGGGGAGACUGGAAUUCUCGGUGUAGCAGUGAAAUGCGUAGAUAUCGAGAGGAACACCAGUGGCGAAGGCGAGUCUCUGGACAUUUCCUGACGCUGAGGCACGAAAGCCAGGGGAGCAAACGGG